GACGAACGCUGGCGGCGUGCUUAACACAUGCAAGUCGAACGGGCCUUGUCCCCUUUUUUUUGGGGGUGGGGUUAGUGGCGAACGGGUGAGUAACACGUGAGUAACCUGCCCCUCACUUCUGGAUAACCGCUUGAAAGGGUGGCUAAUACGGGGUGUUCUGGCCUGCUCGCAUGGGUGGGUUUGGAAAGAUUCGACCGGUUUUGGUUGUUUUGGUGGGGGAUGGGCUCGCGGCCUAUCAGCUUGUUGGUGGGGUGAUGGCCUGCCAAGGCGUUGACGGGUAGCCGGCCUGAGAGGGUGGGCGGUCACACUGGGACUGAGACACGGCCCAGACUCCUACGGGAGGCAGCAGUGGGGAAUAUUGCACAAGGGGCGCAAGCCUGAUGCAGCGACGCCGCGUGAGGGAUGGAGGCCUUCGGGUUGUGAACCUCUUUCGCCAGUGAAGAAGGUCCUGCUCUUUGUGGUGGGGUUGACGGUAGCUGGGUUAAUGAAGCGCCGGCUAACUACGUG
Molecule: ribosomal RNA, 507 nt
Filed under: uncultured bacterium
Lineage: Bacteria
Description: partial 16S ribosomal RNA
Rfam family: Bacterial small subunit ribosomal RNA
Source: RNAcentral